CCCUAGGUUAGGUGGCAUUACUCAUUGAGUUUAAGCAUAUCAAUAAGUGGAGGAAAAGAAUCUUACUAGGAUUCCCUAGUAACAAUGAGUGAACCAGAAAGAGCCCAACUUAAGAAUCUAGCACCCCCAGCAUCCAAAUUGUAGUAUGGACAAGCAUAUUUAAUGACAGAUUGAGCGUAAGUCCCUUGGAAAGGGGCACCAAAGAGGGUGAUAGCCUUAUUGUGCAUAGACCCUAUCGCACCACGAGGCAUUGUCUACGAGUCAAGUUGUUUGGGAAUGUAGCCCCAAUCAGGUAAUAAAUUUUGUCUAAGGCUAAAUAUGGGUGAGAGACCAAUAGCAAACAAGUACCUUGAGGGAAAAAUGAAUAGGACUUUGAAAAAAAAGUCAAAGAGUGUUUGAAAUUGUCAUAAAGAAAAGUGAGUGGGGGUUGGUGAUGCACCUCAAUCGAAUGUGAAAUGGCAAGAGUUGAUCUAUCAAUCUACUCGAGGCAUGAACCAAUGUGGGUUGCAAUGGUGGCCAAGCCUGGGCUUUCGAUAUGCUAGCGAAGACAUCAUUACUGUAACCAUAGAAUGUAGCACAUGUCAAUCUACUCGAGGCAUGAACCAAUGUGGGUCGCAAUGGUGGCCAAGCCUGGGCUUUCGAUAUGCUAGCGAAGACAUCAUUACUGUAAUCAUGGAAUGUAGCACAUGUCAUCUCAGCUUGCCUUAACAUCGGCAUGCUCCUGGUAUAGGCCUACGGGCUCCCUAUCUAGCCUGUCUUGAAACACAGACCAAAGAGUUUGACAUGUGUGGGAGUCAAUGGGCUAGAAAGCCCAGAAUGUGUAAGGAAGCUGAUCGGUGGGAUCCCUCAUGGGUGCACCACAAAUCGACCUUGAUCUUCUAAGAAGGGUUCGAGUGUGAGCAUGGCUGUUGGGACACAAAAGAUGGUGAACUAUGCUUAAACGAGGCAAGGCCAAAGGAAACUCUGGUGGAGGCCUACAACGAUACUGAUGUGCAAAUUGUUCAUUUAACUUAGGUAUAGGGGUAAAAGACUAAUCAAACUAUCUAGUAGCUAGUUCCCUUUAAAGUUUCCCUCAGGAUAGCUAAAGCCCUUAGCCAAUUAUAUCGGGUAAAGACAAUGAUUAAAGGCAUUAGGGGUGCAACAGCUUUGACCUAUUCUUGAAGUUUAAAUAGGUAGGAUGGUGCGAUUGCUUCAUUUUGCCACACCAGGGAAUCAAGAGCUCCAAGUGGGCUAUUUUUGGCAAGCAGAACUAGCAAUGUGGGAUGAAUUGAAAGCCAGGCUAUGUUGCCUAACUGUGUACUACCCUAGAAUCCAUAAAAGGGUGUUGGUCGAUUAAAAUAGCAGGACAAUGGUCAUGGAAGUUUGAAUCUACUAAGGAGUGUGUAAUAACUCACCUACCAUAUCAACUUACCUUAAAAAUAGAUGAUGCUUAAAUGCGUAACCUAUACUUGGCCAUUAGGGUAAGGGCUAAGCCUCGAUGAGUAAGAGGGUAUGGUGGUCAUCGCAAAACUUGGGGCACAAGCCCUAGGGGAGCAACCAUCGGUGUAGAUUUUGAUAGUAGUAGCAAAUAUUCAAAUGAGAACUUUAAAGGUCAAAAAGGGGAAAGGUUCAAUGUGAACGGCACUUGCACAUAGGUUAGUCGAUCCUAAGAGAUGCGGAAGCCUAUCCUAGUACGUCUGGAGUAAGCUUUGACAAGGAAUAGGGUUAAAAUUCUUGAACUAAGAUAAGGUAGCUGACAACAACAUUUGGGAGUUUGGAUUCAUUGGUAGGGGCCUUAGGAAGAGUUGUCUUUUCUAUUUAAUGGCUUGCCCACCUUAGAAAUAGCUGAACCAAAGGUAGGGUCCAAUGGCCAGAAAAGCAUCGUACGUCACAUAGUGUCUAAUAUGCCCCUAUCGACCGUUGAAAAUCUAGAUUACUAAUUGCCAUCCAUGCCCAAUCGUACUCUUAACCACAUCAGGCCUCUAAGGUGAGUAGCCUUUAGUUGAUAGAACAAUAUAGGUAAAGGAAGUCGAUAAAAUGAAUCCGUAACCUUAAGAAAAAGAUUAGCUCUAAGGGCUAGGCAUGGGGGUCCCAGUCUGAAACCCAUCAGCUGUUAGUGCAUUGCUCUAGCUACUCUCACAAUAAAAGUGGGUUGUCAUGUGCUAGUCGGCAGAUGGAUUGGGAAUAGCUCCCUCAGGGGCCUUCCCCAAACGAUGAAAAAUUGACUCAAAACUGGUAGGAUAAGGGGAAUCUAACUGUUUAAUUAAAAUAAAAUAUCACGAUAGUCCCUACAGAUGCUCACAUAAUGUGAUUUAUGCCUAGUGCUUUAAAUGUCAAAGUGAAGAAACUUAACCAAGCAUAGGUAAAUGGUAGGGUUGACUAUGACUCUCUUAAGGUAGCCAAAUGCCUCAUCAUCUAAUUAGUGAUGUGCAUGUAUGUAUUAACGAGAUUACCACUAUCCUUGUCUACUAUCUAGCGAAACCACAACCAAGGGAACAAGCUUGGCAAAAUUAGUGAGGAAAGAAGACCUUGUUAAGCUUGACUCUAGUUUAACAUUGUGAAAUGACUUGAGAGGUGUAGGAUAAGUGGGAGCCCUCAAACGAAAUUGAAAUACCACUACUUUUAACAUUAUUUUACUUAGUCCAUGAAUCAGAGGUAGGAAAGACCCUUUCUUUUACACCCAAGGCUAGUCUUGGUUCGUCGAUCAGAGUGGAAGACAUUGUCAGGUGAGGAGUUUAGCUGGAGUGGCACAUGUGUUAAAAGAUAACGUAGAUGUUUUAAAAUGAGCUCAACAUGAAUAGAAAUCUCAUGUGGAACAAAAGGGUAAAAGCUCAUUUGAUUAUGAUUUCUACUAUGAAUACAAACCAUGAAUGCGUGGCCUAUCGAUCCUUUAAACCUUCUAAAUUUGAAUAGAGUUGUCAAAAAAGUUACCACAUGGAUAAUUGGCUUGUGCCAGCCAAAUGUUCAUAGCAACAUUACUUUUUGAGCCUCUGAUGUUGGCUCUUCCUAUCAUUGUAAAAUAGAAUUCACCAAUUAUUAGAUUGUUCACCCACCAAUAGGGAAUGUGAGUUGGGUUCAGACCAUCAUGAGAUGGGUUAGUUUUACCCUACUGAUGGUAGUGUCGUAAUAGUAAUUCAACCUAGUAUGAGAGGAACCAUUGAUUCGUACAAUUGGUCAUCACACUUGGUUGAAAAACUAGUGGCACGAAGCUACCAUGCAUUGGAUUUUGACUGAAUGCCUCUAAGUUAGAAUCUAGGCUAGAAGCGAUGCAUGUGAACACACUCGAUUGUUGACUUGUAGUAGGGGCCCAUGGCCCCCAAGGGCAUGUGUCAUAGGUGCAGCCCCUUGGCAGACAAGCUGCGCAGGCCUCAUUAGAGCUCAAUUCCCACCGAGUGGCUUGUAGAAUCAUUUAUAGAUGACUUAAAUAUGUGAUGGGCUAUUGUAAGUGGCAAACUAGUCCUGCCACUAUGAUCGAUGAGAUUCAAC
RNAcentral lists this ribosomal RNA (3465 nucleotides) under Durio zibethinus. RNAcentral describes it as "eukaryotic LSU rRNA". It matches the Rfam family "Eukaryotic large subunit ribosomal RNA". Lineage: Eukaryota; Viridiplantae; Streptophyta; Magnoliopsida; Malvales; Malvaceae. The record is from RNAcentral.